AUUGAACGCUGGCGGCAGGCUUAACACAUGCAAGUCGAGCGGGGUGAUGGUGCUUGCACUAUCACUUAGCGGCGGACGGGUGAGUAAUGCUUAGGAAUCUGCCUAUUAGUGGGGGACAACAUCUCGAAUGGGAUGCUAAUACCGCAUACGUCCUACGGAGGAAAGCAGGGGAUCACUUGUGACCUUGCGCUAAUAGAUGAGCCUAAGUCGGAUUAGCUAGUUGGUGGGGUAAAGGCCUACCAAGGCGACGAUCUGUAGCGGGUCGGAGAGGAUGAUCCGCCACACUGGGACUGAAACACGGCCCAGACUCCUACGGGAGGCAGCAGUGGGGAAUAUUGGACAGUGGGGCGAACCCUGAUCCAGCCAUGCCGCGUGUGUGAAGAAGGCCUUAUGGUUGUAAAGCACGUUAAGCGAGGAGGAGGCUCUUUUGGUUAAUACCCAGAAUGAGUGGACGUUACUCGCAGAAUAAGCACCGGCUAACUCUGUGCCAGCCGCCGCGGUAA
RNAcentral lists this ribosomal RNA (503 nucleotides) under uncultured bacterium. RNAcentral's name for it is "partial 16S ribosomal RNA". It matches the Rfam family "Bacterial small subunit ribosomal RNA", at positions 30 to 523 of the family's 1533-position model. The record is from RNAcentral.